CCCAGCUUAGCUCAGUUGGUCAGAGCAUGGUGCUAAUAACACCAAGGUCAUGGGUUCAACCCCUGUAUGGGC
Transfer RNA from Ficedula albicollis (Collared flycatcher), 72 nucleotides. It matches the Rfam family "tRNA". Rfam says of the family: Transfer RNA (tRNA) molecules are approximately 80 nucleotides in length. Their secondary structure includes four short double-helical elements and three loops (D, anti-codon, and T loops). NCBI's taxonomy places the organism in Eukaryota, Metazoa, Chordata, Aves, Passeriformes, Muscicapidae. The record is from Rfam.